AUUGAACGCUGGCGGCAGGCCUAACACAUGCAAGUCGAGCGGAUGAAGGGAGCUUGCUCCUGGAUUCAGCGGCGGACGGGUGAGUAAUGCCUAGGAAUCUGCCUGGUAGUGGGGGAUAACGUCCGGAAACGGGCGCUAAUACCGCAUACGUCCUGAGGGAGAAAGUGGGGGAUCUUCGGACCUCACGCUAUCAGAUGAGCUUAGGUCGGAUUAGCUAGUUGGUGGGGUAAAGGCCUACCAAGGCGACGAUCCGUAACUGGUCUGAGAGGAUGAUCAGUCAAAAUUGAAAUGGGAAAAGGUCCCAAACUCCUAGGGAAGGAAGAGGUGGGAAAUUUUGGCAAUGGGGCGAAAGCUGAAGCCAGCCAUGCGGCGUGUGUAAAGAAGGUCUUCGGAUUGUAAAGCACUUUAAGUUGGGAGGAAGAGCAGGAAAUUAAUACCGCGCUGUUUGGACGUAACCAACAGGAUAAGCACCGGCAAACUUCGU
Molecule: ribosomal RNA, 484 nt
Filed under: uncultured bacterium
Lineage: Bacteria
Description: partial 16S ribosomal RNA
Rfam family: Bacterial small subunit ribosomal RNA
Source: RNAcentral